UAUGUAGGGUGCGAGCGUUGUCCGGAAUUACUGGGCGUAAAGAGCUCGUAGGUGGUUUGUCGCGUUGUUCGUGAAAACUCACAGCUUAACUGUGGGCGUGCGGGCGAUACGGGCAGACUGGAGUACUGCAGGGGAGACUGGAAUUCCUGGUGUAGCGGUGGAAUGCGCAGAUAUCAGGAGGAACACCGGUGGCGAAGGCGGGUCUCUGGGCAGUAACUGACGCUGAGGAGCGAAAGCGUGGGGAGCGAACAGG
RNAcentral lists this ribosomal RNA (253 nucleotides) under uncultured bacterium. Its description in RNAcentral is "partial 16S ribosomal RNA". It matches the Rfam family "Bacterial small subunit ribosomal RNA", at positions 524 to 776 of the family's 1533-position model. The record is from RNAcentral.